GAUUUUUAGGUUUAUAUAUAGACCUUUGGCCUUCAAAGCCAAGAGAGAAAAAUUUUCAAAAUCUGA
Molecule: transfer RNA, 66 nt
Filed under: Planocera reticulata
Lineage: Eukaryota; Metazoa; Platyhelminthes; Polycladida; Planoceridae
Description: tRNA-Trp
Source: RNAcentral